GUUUAACGUGUGGCCCUAAAGAACUGGAAACCCAAAGGAACCAAUAUUCCUGCCCCACAGAGUCCCAUCUUUAGUGAGGCUGUUCUGGAGUUUAUAUGAUGACCAAGGUACUAGGCAUGGCCCCAGUUCUGGGUCCUCGGCCUCCACAGGAGCAGGUGGGGCCUCUGAUGGUAAAAGUCGAGGAGAAAGAAGAGAAAGGCAAAUACCUUCCUAGCCUGGAGAUGUUCCGCCAGCGCUUCAGGCAGUUUGGGUACCAUGAUACCCCUGGACCCCGAGAGGCCCUGAGCCAACUCCGGGUGCUCUGCUGUGAGUGGCUGAGGCCUGAGAUCCACACCAAGGAGCAGAUCCUGGAGCUACUGGUGCUGGAGCAGUUCCUGACCAUCCUGCCCCAGGAGCUCCAGGCCUGGGUGCAGGAGCAUUGCCCGGAGAGCGCUGAAGAGGCUGUCACUCUCCUCGAAGAUCUGGAGCGGGAACUGGAUGAGCCAGGACACCAGGUCUCAACUCCUCCAAAUGAACAGAAACCAGUGUGGGAGAAGAUAUCCUCUUCGGGAACUGCAAAGGAAUCCCCGAGCAGUGUGCAGCCACAGCCCUUGGAGACCAGUCACAAAUACGAGUCUUGGGGGCCCCUGUACAUCCAAGAGUCUGGUGAGGAGCAGGCUUUCGCUCAAGAUCCGAGAAAGGUCCGAGGAGAACACACACUGGGGAGAAACCUUACGUGUGCACCAAGUGUGGGAAAGCUUUCAGCCACAGCUCAAACCUCACCCUCCACUACAGAACACACUUGGUGGACCGGCCCUACGACUGUAAGUGUGGAAAAGCUUUUGGGCAGAGCUCAGACCUUCUUAAGCAUCAGAGAAUGC
RNAcentral lists this small RNA (860 nucleotides) under Pongo abelii (Sumatran orangutan). RNAcentral's name for it is "processed transcript". The record is from RNAcentral. Lineage: Eukaryota; Metazoa; Chordata; Mammalia; Primates; Hominidae.